RNAcentral lists this unclassified non-coding RNA (371 nucleotides) under uncultured Gemmatimonadaceae bacterium. RNAcentral's name for it is "contains 16S-23S intergenic spacer region". Lineage: Bacteria; Pseudomonadati; Gemmatimonadota; Gemmatimonadia; Gemmatimonadales; Gemmatimonadaceae. The record is from RNAcentral.
UCCGGUUUGUCACCGGCAGUCCCAUUAGAGUGCUCAACUUAAUGUGGCAACUAAUGGCAAGGGUUGCGCUCGUUGCGGGACUUAACCCAACAUCUCACGACACGAGCUGACGACAGCCAUGCAGCACCUGUGCAGGAUCUCCGAAGAGGGGCUCUCGUUUCUGAGAGCUUGCUCCUGCAUGUCAAGCCUAGGUAAGGUUCUUCGCGUUGCGUCGAAUUAAACCACAUGCUCCACCGCUUGUGCGGGCCCCCGUCAAUUCCUUUGAGUUUCAACCUUGCGGUCGUACUCCCCAGGCGGGGUACUUCCUGCGUUAGCGCCGGCACCCAGAUUGCUCCGAACAGCUAGUAUCCAUCGUUUACGGCGUGGACUAC